Molecule: long non-coding RNA, 1032 nt
Organism: Thunnus maccoyii (southern bluefin tuna)
Lineage: Eukaryota; Metazoa; Chordata; Actinopteri; Scombriformes; Scombridae
Exons: 3
Source: RefSeq, a predicted model, not a curated record
UGUUUCAGCAAAAAGGAAAAAACAAAUGGAGAAACGUCAGAGAUGCUACCUGGAUGCCAUAUAGUAUCAGAGGAAAAUGAAAUUGCAGACAUUCCCAUACAGGAAGUUGGAGAGGAAACGCCAGAGAUGCUAACCAGAUGCUAAACAGUACCAGGAACAUCUCCUACUGCAGAGUAAAUGUGAUCUAGAAUCCAGUUUACAAUCCAGGUUGGAUUCUAGCACAUUGUCUUUGCAGUGAUGAGAAAUAAAACAAGUCCAAGUUUGAUUUCCUGAACUUUACUACAGACUGAAAAUAUCCUCUAAGAGCUGCUUGUCUACAGUCUGCAUCAUUAUUUCACAUAGAUGUUAUUAAAUGUUGUAGGACGACUGUCAGAUGUUGUGAAACUAUUGAAAGUUAUUGUGUUUAUUAGUUUUCUUGUUAAAAUGAUCUAAUGAUCCCUGUAGAUGAUUCAAACCAAACAUACAGAAGUGAAUGUGGAAGUAUUUUUAUUUUGGAUUUACAGGAGCAACAGCUGUGAGUUAUAUUGUUCCCUUUAAAAUGGAGGCUAGAGGGAUCGGCCCUGUGAGUACUGACACAGGGGAAGAUAGAAAUAAAAGCAACUUUAAAUAGAGAUUCAUCCUUUAAACCAGUAAAUGUUACAAACCUGUGAAAACAUGUUGGAUGAAAACUAAAUGUAGCUGCUGAAGAGUCUUGAUACUAAGAGCUCAUUAAUCAUCAACAUUUAUUGACUUAUAAUUCACCCAGACUGGGAUGUAAAAUGUACUAAUUAGUGUUCAUGUAUUGUGGUUGUGAUUGUGCACCACAGUGAUUCAUCAGACUCAUAAAGAGCUACAAGGACCUAAGAAUUUUGAUUUCAGAUGAUAUACAUGUAAUAAUGUACAGUAUGAGUGUGUAUAUAAGUUCUUUUUGCACGUUUGUUUUGUACUGAACAUACUUUGUUAAGUUAUGUUUAAAAGAUGUGUAUAGAUGUAUAAAAAGUGUAUUUUGUGUUCAUUUCAACGUUUAAAAAGACAUUAAAGUCUUUAAUCAUG